RNAcentral lists this ribosomal RNA (253 nucleotides) under uncultured bacterium. RNAcentral describes it as "partial 16S ribosomal RNA". It matches the Rfam family "Bacterial small subunit ribosomal RNA", at positions 524 to 776 of the family's 1533-position model. The record is from RNAcentral.
UACGUAGGGUGCGAUCGUUGUCCGGAAUUAUUGGGCAUAAAGAGCUUGUAGGCGGUUUGUCGCGUCUGCUGUGAAAAUCCGGGGCUCAACCCCGGACUUGCAGUGGGUACGGGCAGACUAGAGUGUGGUAGGGGAGACUGGAAUUCCUGGUGUAGCGGUGGAAUGCGCAGAUAUCAGGAGGAACACCAAUAGCGAAGGCAGCUCGCUGGGACGUUACUGACACUGAGGCGCGAAAGCGUGGGGAGCGAACAGG